RNAcentral lists this transfer RNA (71 nucleotides) under Marmota monax (woodchuck). RNAcentral describes it as "tRNA.Ala". Lineage: Eukaryota; Metazoa; Chordata; Mammalia; Rodentia; Sciuridae. The record is from RNAcentral.
GAGGCUGUAGCUUUGUGGUAAAGUGCUUUCCUUGCAUGUGUGAGGCACUGGGUUCAAUCCUCAGCACCACA